CAUGCCUGGCUCCUUGUAUGCCAUUCAGCAAGUACAUCAAUAGCAGGUGGCCUUUGUGGAUGGCGUGCCAGGAGCCAGGCAUA
RNAcentral lists this microRNA precursor (83 nucleotides) under Digitalis purpurea (common foxglove). RNAcentral's name for it is "miR160 stem-loop (dpr-MIR160)". Its record names the gene dpr-MIR160. It matches the Rfam family "mir-160 microRNA precursor family". Rfam says of the family: The hairpin precursors (represented here) are predicted based on base pairing and cross-species conservation -- their extents are not known. In this case the mature sequence is excised from the 5' arm of the hairpin. Lineage: Eukaryota; Viridiplantae; Streptophyta; Magnoliopsida; Lamiales; Plantaginaceae. The record is from miRBase by way of RNAcentral.